AAGGCCUAAUGCGUGCACGAGCAUUAGGUUCCUAAAUCGCCAUAAUUUUGGCGGAGCCCAACCUAGCUCCGAGGGACAUUGGUGCUAAAAUCGGGUAGGUGAAAAAAGGGCUAUAAACCCUAUAUAUACACUACAGGGAGGGACACUAUAGUGUUAGGAAUACACAUUUGUAUUGUGAACAAUAUAGUGUUCCUUUAAUGUUAACACAUUCCACUAUGCCUCAACUAUUUAUGCUAGAAGAGAUAAAUAAGAGACUUUGCAAUACAAUGGGGUAAAUUUCUCCGUUCAUUAAUCCAUUGCAACCCCCACCCCAGAAUGACAAGGGUAGCUAUUUACUUAUUUUUACUCAUCGGAUUAAUAAAAUAAAGUAAACGUGUGAUAAAAUAUGGCUGCAUCUAGUGAUAUAUUAAAG
Molecule: non-coding RNA, 412 nt
Organism: Pelobates cultripes (western spadefoot toad)
Lineage: Eukaryota; Metazoa; Chordata; Amphibia; Anura; Pelobatidae
Source: the annotation of a GenBank genome assembly